RNAcentral lists this ribosomal RNA (301 nucleotides) under uncultured bacterium. Its description in RNAcentral is "partial 16S ribosomal RNA". It matches the Rfam family "Bacterial small subunit ribosomal RNA", at positions 509 to 807 of the family's 1533-position model. The record is from RNAcentral.
CAGUCGCCACGGUAAUACGGAGGGUGCAAGCGUUAAUCGGAAUUACUGGGCGUAAAGCGCACGCAGGCGGUCUGUCAAGUUAGAUGUGAAAUCCCCGGGCUUAACCUGGGAACUGCAUUUGAAACUGGCAGGCUAGAGUCUUGUAGAGGGGGGUAGAAUUCCAGGUGUAGCGGUGAAAUGCGUAGAGAUCUGGAGGAAUACCGGUGGCGAAGGCGGCCCCCUGGACAAAGACUGACGCUCAGGUGCGAAAGCGUGGGGAGCAAACAGGAUUAGAUACCCCAGUAGUCCCUGUCUCUUAUAC